RNAcentral lists this microRNA (17 nucleotides) under Corchorus capsularis. RNAcentral describes it as "sRNA CCACVL1_30380". Lineage: Eukaryota; Viridiplantae; Streptophyta; Magnoliopsida; Malvales; Malvaceae. The record is from RNAcentral.
AUUUCUCUUCUUAUCCC